GGAAGAGCUAAUGCCAAUACUCAAACUAUUCCACAAAAUAGAAACUGACAGAACUUUGUCAAACUCAUUCUAUGAGGCCACAGUCACCCUGAUAGCUAAACUAUACAAAGACUCAACAAAGAAAGAGAAUUUCAGACAGCAUUCUGUCUAAGCUCCACCCCCACUGUAACCUGGCAACAGCCAGGCAUGCUCCGCCCCACAGUUACCUGGCAACAGCCAGGUAUGCCUGAUACUGUAAACGGGGCUGAGUGCCCUCUCCUCACUUUCUUGUUCUUGUUCCCUCUUGCUCUCUCUUGCUCUUCCCCUCUUCCCCCUUUGUCCCUGCUCUGCCCAUCUCCCUCCCCACUUCUUUCUAUGCUCAUGGCCGGCCUCUACUCCUCUCCUCCUCUCCUCUUCUAUUCUUUUUCUUCUCUCUCUCUCAUCCCUCUCCCUUGUCCUUUCGUUAAACCUUUCCAAGUGGAACCAUGUUGGCCUGGUGUGGUUUGUCCAGACGCAAGCCAAGAUUUCUACCUCAACACAGACCAAUUUCUCUUAUGAAAAUUGAUUAAAAAAAUACUCACGAACUGAAUCUAAGAGCACAUCAAAGGCAUCAUCCACCAUGAUCGAAUAGGCUUCAUUUCAGGGCAGCACCUGACCUCAUUUGCAUAUUGCUGUUUGGUUACCAUCCUUAACCAGAGGAAAAUUUGACCGCAGAGACAUUGACCUAUCCAUUUUUCAAAAAGUGGGAAAAGGAUUUCUUCCCCCACCAACUCUGCAGGACAACGCCUACUUCCUUUUGCCUUUGCUGGUAUUGGUUAUGGCAAGUACUAAAAAUACUUGUUUCUUU
Non-coding RNA from Rattus norvegicus (Norway rat), 826 nucleotides. The record is from RefSeq and is a predicted model, not a curated record. Lineage: Eukaryota; Metazoa; Chordata; Mammalia; Rodentia; Muridae.